GAUGAACGCUGGCGGCGUGCCUAAUACAUGCAAGUCGAGCGAACAGACGAGGAGCUUGCUCCUCUGACGUUAGCGGCGGACGGGUGAGUAACACGUGGAUAACCUACCUAUAAGACUGGGAUAACUUCGGGAAACCGGAGCUAAUACCGGAUAAUAUAUUGAACCGCAUGGUUCAAUAGUGAAAGACGGUUUUGCUGUCACUUAUAGAUGGAUCCGCGCCGCAUUAGCUAGUUGGUAAGGUAACGGCUUACCAAGGCAACGAUGCGUAGCCGACCUGAGAGGAGGGUGGGCCGCACAGGAACGGGGACAGGGGCCAGGCGACAACGGGAGGCCGCAGUGGGGAAUGUGAGACAAUGGGCGAAAGACUGACACAGCAAGCGCGAGUGUGAGAUGACGGCCUUGGGUUAGUAAACUGCUCUUUUAGGGAAAAAAAAGCUGUGGACUAACAAAGAGCGGGCUGGACGGUACCGAAUGAAGAAGCACCGGCUAACUACGUG
This 497-nucleotide ribosomal RNA is filed under the name uncultured bacterium. RNAcentral describes it as "partial 16S ribosomal RNA". It matches the Rfam family "Bacterial small subunit ribosomal RNA", at positions 28 to 507 of the family's 1533-position model. The record is from RNAcentral.